AACGAACGCUGGCGGCAGGCCUAACACAUGCAAGUCGAGCGCCCUUUCGGGGGAGCGGCGGACGGGUGAGUAACGCGUGGGAAUAUGCCCUUCUCUACGGAAUAGCCUCGGGAAACUGAGAGUAAUACCGUAUACGCCCUGUGGGGGAAAGAUUUAUCGGGGAUGGAUUAGCCCGCGUUGGAUUAGGUAGUUGGUGGGGUAAUGGCCUACCAAGCCGACGAUCCAUAGCUGGUUUGAGAGGAUGAUCAGCCACACUGGGACUGAGACACGGCCCAGACUCCUACGGGAGGCAGCAGUGGGGAAUCUUAGACAAUGGGGGCAACCCUGAUCUAGCCAUGCCGCGUGAGUGAUGAAGGCCUUAGGGUUGUAAAGCUCUUUCAGCUGGGAAGAUAAUGACGGUACCAGCAGAAGAAGCCCCGGCUAACUCCGUG
This 431-nucleotide ribosomal RNA is filed under the name uncultured bacterium. Its description in RNAcentral is "partial 16S ribosomal RNA". It matches the Rfam family "Bacterial small subunit ribosomal RNA", at positions 29 to 507 of the family's 1533-position model. The record is from RNAcentral.